CAGAAACUAGUUAUUUGGACAGCUCCCUGAAAAGCCAGAGCAUUGGAUGCAUACAUCACUGUUUCCUUCUAUCUUUAAAGGAGAGGUUGCUGAAUUGCAUGACUUCUGUCUGCUGUUUCACAAAUUCUCUGGAGCAGCAACAAACACCUAGCUAUCUUUUGUUGUCAGUGGCCCCUAAGUACAUAUAAUAUGCUACAUUUGUCCAUGCUCUGAGGCAGGAGAGACAAAAACCAGUCCCCUGAAAAGCCAGAACACUGGAUACAUGUUCCAAGUCUUUCCCUUCCCAGGAAGAAGCUGGGAGUUGAGGAUUUUCUUCCAUUUGUUCUGCACUGAGCCAACAGGAGAAAUGAUGAUGAAUGAGGGCAUGCUACUUCACAUUGUCACCUUUAGUAGUCCCCAACCUCAAAGACUUACCUGUUAGCACCUAGAUUUAGGCAAGACAGAAACCAGUCCCUUGAGGAACGACCCCCAGAAAUCAAACGUUUAAUGUAUGCCUCAACCUCCACCUUCUCUCUACAGGGAGAAGGCAGAAGUUGGGAGUUUUAUCCUGAUCCUACCACACUGAUCAAGGGAGAGGACUAUGGUCAAAAGGAAUGAAGAGGAAAAGAGAAAGAUGACUUCAUAACUUGGAGCCGCGGCAGCUUCUCCUUUUACCAGACAGCAACCAGAAGAAAGAGAACCUGAGACUGAAGGGUUCAUGAGAAAACCGAUAACUUUAUCCAUAGAAGAGCUACUUUUUCACAUCCAUGUUGUAGUGAUGAAUUUCUAUUUAUGUUGACAACUUUCCCAGAAGUCUUACUUUGGGACUUUGAUAAAAAGUAUAAAAUGUUUACUCAAGAACUUUUCUAAAGGGAGAUUGCUUUGCUGAACGAAUACAGCAUCCUGUCACUGCUCUCAGGGAACACUUCAGAGAAGACGUGACAUCUGAGUGGCACCUUAAAGGACAAUGUGAUAAACAGAGGGUUGCCUACUUCACAGUCUUUUUUUACCCUUCUUUACUAAAAGCACUCCAGUCUUAUCUCCUUCCAAGCAACCAUGUCCUUCAAAGAAGGCUGGGGUCUUUCCCGGCUCAAAGGAGUAAAUCUUGAAUAAUCUAAGCUAUGUUUUUCAAAAUGUGAGCUACAAACAAUUCAUAUCUUGUGAAAUCGAUUUAGUGUAUCCUGAACAGCAUUAAAAAAUGAAAUAUAAUAGAGUAUAACAGAAUGUAUUGUCUGGAUCCUUAGUAAUAACUGUGCAAAAUACAAAAAUACUACAAUCAAAUUCAACUAACAGAGAGAAAGAGAGAUAAUUAGGACUCUAGGAAGCUGAAUCUUCUGCUCCGUGUGUGUGUGUGUGUGUGUGUAGUAUAAAAAGUAUUUCUUACUGUGGCCAUAUUAAAAGUUACAAAAAGUGAUCUAAGCCAAUGAUGAUUGGUUUGGAUGUGAAUGCUUGAGGCUAUCUGAGUCAAAGAGACAUAAGGGGGAGUUCAGCUUUGGGAAAACUUUUUUUUCAUUCUUACAAAGGCAUAGAAAGCAUUUCUAGUCACACAGGCUAUCUUGAAUAGUAAUCAUCAUAUUGUACAGCAAGGACAGGAGGACAAGCUACCUGCUAAGAUUAUUGAGGAAAGACAAACGAACUGGAUAUUUCCCCCCCACUGUAUUCCUCUAUUCAAUCUCAGUGGCCACAAUCAGACAGAUAGAAAGCACAAGAAUAUAUUUUUUUCCUUGCAUCUGUAGUGGAAACCUUAGUAGCAGAUAGUAACUACUCCAGGUCUGUCAAACAGAUGCAUGAAAAUGAAUAUCUGAUGACAUUAUAAAGCCCCUGAAUGAGCCAACCCUGCAAAUGCCUUUCUGAUGGAUCUCUUGUUUUUUUAAAUAAUAAAUACCUUUACUGUUUAAGCAA
Molecule: long non-coding RNA, 1881 nt
Organism: Cebus imitator (Panamanian white-faced capuchin)
Lineage: Eukaryota; Metazoa; Chordata; Mammalia; Primates; Cebidae
Exons: 4
Source: RefSeq, a predicted model, not a curated record